GGCUGCUGGUCGUUGCUACCUGUGGUGAAGGCAUGCAUCGGGAUGGUGAAAUAACAGGUUUCCACUCUGGGAUUGUCUUCUAGGGCCAACUUUCACCAAUGGAAGUAAAAUUUGUUUUUCCAGCACUCUGGGGGAUUUUGAAGUGAACCAAAAUCUCAUGCAGUCUCAGAACGGUUGUCACCUGCAACUUUAGGCUGUCCGUACCACUGAAUUGGAG
Molecule: long non-coding RNA, 217 nt
Filed under: Apteryx owenii (little spotted kiwi)
Lineage: Eukaryota; Metazoa; Chordata; Aves; Apterygiformes; Apterygidae
Description: lncRNA (ENSAOWG00000009465.1)
Source: RNAcentral